GGGGAUAUAGCUCAGUUGGUAGAGUGUUUGCCUUGAGUGCACAGGCCCUGGGUUCAAUCCCCAGCACCCCUC
Marmota monax (woodchuck) is the source of this 72-nucleotide non-coding RNA. The record is from the annotation of a RefSeq genome assembly. Lineage: Eukaryota; Metazoa; Chordata; Mammalia; Rodentia; Sciuridae.